This 458-nucleotide ribosomal RNA is filed under the name uncultured bacterium. RNAcentral's name for it is "partial 16S ribosomal RNA". It matches the Rfam family "Bacterial small subunit ribosomal RNA", at positions 338 to 795 of the family's 1533-position model. The record is from RNAcentral.
CCUACGGGAGGCAGCAGUGAGGAAUAUUGGUCAAUGGGCGAGAGCCUGAACCAGCCAAGUCGCGUGAGGGAGUACUGCCCUAUGGGUUGUAAACCUCUUUUGUCGGGGAGCAAAAGCCGGACGUGUCCGGCUGUGAGAGUACCCGAAGAAAAAGCAUCGGCUAACUCCGUGCCAGCAGCCGCGGUAAUACGGAGGAUGCGAGCGUUAUCCGGAUCUAUUGGGUUUAAGGGGUGCGCAGGCGGAUUGUUAAGUCAGCGGUAAAAUCGUGGGGCUCAACCCCAUCCAGCCGUUGAAACUGGGGAUCUAGAGUGUGGGAGAGGUAUGCGGAAUGCGUGGUGUAGCGGUGAAAUGCAUAGAUAUCACGCAGAACCCCGAUUGCGAAGGCAGCAUACCGGUGCUCAACUGACGCUCAGGCACGAAAGCGUGGGUAUCGAACAGGAUUAGAUACCCUAGUAGUC